This 367-nucleotide unclassified non-coding RNA is filed under the name fungal sp. RNAcentral's name for it is "partial internal transcribed spacer region". The stretch from base 1 to 46 matches the Rfam family "Eukaryotic small subunit ribosomal RNA", at positions 1786 to 1831 of the family's 1831-position model. Lineage: Eukaryota; Fungi. The record is from RNAcentral.
AAGUCGUAACAAGGUUUCCGUAGGUGAACCUGCGGAAGGAUCAUUAUCACGUAUCCACGUAUAAACCAUUGUGAACCGUUCUAAACCUCUAAGAUGAGUGAGCCAGUUGUAUAUCAAACAUUUUAAGCGGUCUUCUUGUGAUUAAACCGUGGUUUGGUAUGCCACAGUCGUUUAUCUCCGGAUUUCGAUUGUACUUGCUUAUUUUAGAGUGUAUUUCUUAAUCACUAUCUAUUAACCAUUUUAACCCAAUCUUUAUAACUUAUUGAACUAAUUUUAUUUCUUACUCUCCGGAGAAGAAAUUCAUUACGAAACAAAGAACAACUCUUAGCAACGGAUAUCUUGGUUCUCGUAACGAUGAAGACGCAGC